GUGUGUGUAUAAAUAUUGGCUUUGAUCCACAGUGAGUCUUUAAAGAUCAAUAAAAAUGGAUGAUGUCAGGAAGCUGUUUUUGGCCUUAUAGGCCAGGAAAAAGGAAAAUGUUUUGAAGGGGUAGACAGGAACACUUCCACAGCUCAGUUGCUAUCACUACUUUUCAUAUUUAAAGUUAACACAAGCUGCUCGUCUGAAUCCCAAUGGAAAAGGUGAAUGGAUAUUCCAGUUCUGUACCUUUAUCAAAUUCAGAUGUACCUUAGAUUCCUUUCAGUUUGUUUCCUGUAGUAUUAGGAUUAACAGCAGCAACAACAAAAAUCCUCCCAGCUCAGAUAUUUAGGAAGAAGAACCCAUUUUGAAUCUGUGUUUAUGUGCCCCCUGUUCUCAGAUGCUAUGUGUGUUGAAGGAGCAGUUGUUCAUUUUGUAGGUGCCAGUGUCAGGGAAUGAGGGAUCCAAGUGGUCCCAAGCACCUAGGCUUUGGUAAUCUCAGAGCAGUGUGAGAGUCUGCUGGGUCAGAACUGUCUUCCCUCUGGGUGUGGUGCCUCCUCUCUGCACUGUAGUGUUCCCUGAGAGCAAGCCCAGGAAACGCCACUUAGUAACGAGGAAAGCUUUCUCCUUAUGUGAGUUUUCUAAUUAAAAUGUUUUCCAUCUGAUGGGGAAGUGUGUGAAUAUCAAGAACUGGAAAUUAAGCAAGAAAUUAAAAGAACAUUAAUGGUUUCUUUGCAAUUUGUUUUGAGGUUUUCCUCACUAAGUGGUAUUUUGCUUACAAAGUCACCCUUUCACACAUAAAUCUUUAUGACAAAUGGACUGGAAUAUAUCCCAGCAAAAGAAGAGCUAUGGUGUCAUGUGUAAAUUAUAUCACACAUUGUGAAAGAGAACCCAAAGCAUUCACUUUUUAAAAAAGCAUUGUUAGUGCAGUUACUUAAUUGGUGUAUACAAAAUUAUAGUUUAUUUGAAAGUGAAGGUUGGUUUGUCUAGAGGACUGGAAGAAUAAGUGUUCUGACAUUUGUUCAUUGUUUGAAUUUACACUCCAGACACCAGAAUGCUCAAUAAAUCCAAAGUGUGAUUUACUGACUCUUUAAAAAGUUCACUGCUGAAACUUUAUCCAUCGCAACCAGUGUCCCUUCACCCCGAGGUAUGUUUGAUCUGCAGUAGGCAGGCACCUGCCCUUCCUGGUCCUUGGGCCUCAGGGAGUGCAUCGAAUGCCACACUGGCAGUUUUGUUUGUUUUGUUAUCUGGAUUUGUGUCUACUAGUAAAGUCUUCAUUAAGCUGCAGCUUCUACCUCUGGGUGGAGAAGUAGGUGGAAACAGGGAACUGUCAAACUCUGUAGCCCUUCCCGGCCUACCUCAAAGUGCCCCCACCCACAGCCUCUCACCUGCCUCUUCUCUCUCCUAGACCUCAGGGUACUGCAUGUUCUGUCUGCUGUGCUUUCAGUUUCCUUCUCUGGCCCAGCCCUUCCUCCCUACUUCCGUUUAUUCUGGUGGACAGCCUUUAGGGGCCAGCCCAGAUGCCACUUCUUCAUGCACCCUUUCUUGGGCUCCAUUCUGCAUAGUCCAUCCUUUGGUUCAUUCUUCUCCUUCCCAUAUCCCCUGUGAGGACUGUCGCCAUGAAAAUGUCAUGAUCUCUUUAUUGGUGUCUUUAAUCUACUAAAUCAGGAGCUCUUUGGGAGCAGGUGCUGGGCCUCCCUUAGAUUUCUGUUUCCCUAGAACCCAGCCCAGCACCUGCACAUGGUUGUGAGUGAAUGAAUUCGGGUGGAUGGGUGGGGGAGUGAUGGUGGGGUAAUGUACCUUCAAGUCAAAAAGGUAAACUUGAUUCCUGUUUUGGAGAAAGAGAAGAAUAAAUACUGUUUUUGUUUAUACAGGUCUUAAAAUUUUGGUAGCAGAGAGCAAAUGUGCAGAGAGCAAUGGAAAACAAGUCAGAAGCUGCUGUCUGAUUCCAGAGAAGGUCACAUUUUAUGCAAAAAGAAAAAAAGUAAUUUACAUUUGAUCACCUUGAGAUCUUCAAUUUGUCAUUGUGAUAUCUUAAGUAACUAAUGAUUAAGUGAAAUAAAUCUUGGGAAAAUAGAUCACAAAUGGAAUGAGGACUUUGCAUUGUAAGAAACCCACAACUCUUUUCUUUUCACAACAUGACCUUUUUAAAAAGUACCUUAUUGCAGGCUUGUGAAGGUGGCUGGCCUCUGAGCACUGGGCACAUGCCUGAAAGUGAUAGGCCUUUUUUAUUUACCUUGAUCCGCUGGAAUUAAACAGUCAUGCUUAUAUUCAGUUAGUUUGAGGUUUGGUUGGAAUUCAGUUCCAAAUUGGCGAAAGAAAUGAGCAUCCAGCCCCUCUUCCUCAUAUUGUCCAACUUGCCUUAUGAGACUCAUAUGCACAGUAUUCCCUGUUUAAACUGAAGUCACUCACUUGACUCUGUCCCUGCAGUAGUCCCUAAGGAAGGUAAACGAACAGAUAUCUUGAGACUUCCUUCUGCAUCAGUAGUUUUGAUAGUUUCAAGGCCACUGUGGAAUUCACCUGUAGUCUGUUAGGACCUUACCUUACUUAGGAACAUUAGUCCUUUUACUCACACACCCUCCAGUAUCCCUUUGGAAUGCUGUGUUUUUCUAACCCAUGAAACUGGUCUAGAAAGUACAGUAGCAAGUGCUGAGAAUUGAAGUCCACCUUCCUAGUGCUGUGCUUCACAAAUAGUCUCUAGCUGGGGGCCUCUCAGAGCAUGGUGUUCUGUUAUAUCAAUAUGUACUUAGACAUGCUAAUCUGAAUUAGAGAGCCGAUAUACAUAAUGACUCCCCUGGGAUGCUAUAUUAGAAAAAAAACAAAACAAAAACUGAAGUAGUUUGCUGAAUAUGCAUAGGAAGCUAAAAAAUAAAAUCCUUCUAAAAUGAGCGUUAAUUGAAUCUGGACCUUGAUCAUCUUUGAACCUCUAAUUUUUAAUUUGAUCCUUUAAAAAAGUUUUAUAGGUUCUUGAAGACAAAAUCUACAACUCAAUAAAAGUUAUGCUGUAGUGAUUGCCUAAAGACUGUACAAAGCCCAAUUUUGAGGUAUUGUUGCUCCAUGUAUACACAGCAUGUGUGGGGUAGAUGUAUAUAUAUGUACAUGUUCAUGCAUACACAUACCAACUAUAUGUGCUUAAUCUAUGCUGUAGUUUGCCUUUAUUCAGAUUCCCUCUAGAAAUGGGGCAAAUUUUCUUCAGUUAAAAACAGAAAUAGAAGCGCCGGCCUUGACCCAUUUUAUACCUGUUUAUUUCAGGCUCUCACCACACACUUGUUCAUGGGCACAGCAAGAAGAGGGAUCCACAGAGCUGGAGCCGUGAGGUCUGACACAUUGGGGUGAAGCUGGCAAAAUUCGUAGGGAGAGCUUUACCAUCCUGCCAGCUCCAUAUCUGGCCUCAAGACAGUUCUAUUAGUGAAUUAAUUGUACUCAAAACCUCGAAUUCAUUUGAACCGAAUGUUACUAAAAAUGAAAUAGAUCAAAGUGACCUCCUCUUGCCUCAUCCAGAGUGAUUGUGAAGGAGCCCAUGGCCUCAUUUAUCUCUGGAGAGCAGGUCUCCACCUGUGUGCCUCCUGGUCCUGGGGUUUUUCGUGCCCGUCCCUGAUGCUACUCUGCCCGCAGUCCCUCAGCAGGCUUCCAUUUCUUACUGGCACUUCACUCCCCUGGAAUCUCUUUAUGUUGAUUACUGUUUGUCUCCCACAAGAAUGGAAGCUCCAUGAGAGCAGGGUCUCUGUCUUGUUCCAUGUCCCAGUGCAUAGGACAGUGCCUGGCACAGUAGAGUUUCAAUAAACGCUAUUGAAUGAACUAG
Molecule: long non-coding RNA, 3790 nt
Filed under: Marmota monax (woodchuck)
Lineage: Eukaryota; Metazoa; Chordata; Mammalia; Rodentia; Sciuridae
Source: RNAcentral